AAAGUCGUAACAAGGUUUCCGUAGGUGAACCUGCGGAAGGAUCAUUAACGAGCGCUCUUGCCCUCUGUGGCAGAACCUCCCACCCUGUGCAUACCGACCCUUGUUGCUUUGGCAGGCCCGUCCCCUCGGGGACCGCCGGCGCCCCUGCGGCGCGGGCCAGCGCCUGCCAGAGACCUACCAAACUCUGCCAUAACAUGUCGUCCGAGUCGAUUGCAAAAUCGUUAAAACUUUCAACAACGGAUCUCUUGGUUCUG
RNAcentral lists this unclassified non-coding RNA (254 nucleotides) under Ascomycota sp. RNAcentral describes it as "partial contains small subunit ribosomal RNA, internal transcribed spacer 1, and 5.8S ribosomal RNA". The stretch from base 1 to 47 matches the Rfam family "Eukaryotic small subunit ribosomal RNA", at positions 1785 to 1831 of the family's 1831-position model. The record is from RNAcentral. Lineage: Eukaryota; Fungi; Ascomycota.